This 264-nucleotide signal recognition particle RNA is filed under the name Bacillota bacterium. Its description in RNAcentral is "Firmicutes bacterium (hot springs metagenome) signal recognition particle sRNA large type". It matches the Rfam family "Bacterial large signal recognition particle RNA". From Rfam's summary of the family: The signal recognition particle (SRP) is a universally conserved ribonucleoprotein involved in the co-translational targeting of proteins to membranes. Archaeal SRP consists of a 7S RNA and homologues of the eukaryotic SRP19 and SRP54 proteins. Lineage: Bacteria; Bacillati; Bacillota. The record is from RNAcentral.
CUGUACUAGGCGGGGAACUAGCGGUGCCCUGUACCUGCAAUCCGCUAUAGCAGGGUUGAAUUCCUGUUAGAGGUAGUAACUUGUAAGGACUGCCCCUAGUAAGUGGUGUUGACAUUUAGGCCCUACGCGGCAGAAACUUCCAAACCCCGUCAGGCCUGGGAAGGAGCAGCGGUAAGGAAGCACUUCUGGGUGCCGUAGGUCUACCUAAUUCGAGCUAACUGCUGGGGUAACGCUUGGGGGUUACUAUCGAAGGCAGGUGUACAG